Molecule: long non-coding RNA, 10006 nt
Filed under: Musa acuminata (dwarf banana)
Lineage: Eukaryota; Viridiplantae; Streptophyta; Magnoliopsida; Zingiberales; Musaceae
Description: long non-coding RNA (MACU_LNC002123)
Source: RNAcentral
UCCAAGAACUCAAACAGCUCAACAACACCAUCUCUAAAAGCAAUUGUAGCCUCAGAGACAGAUUUCUUUAUUGCAUCAUAGGUAACACCUCCCUCGAUAAGAAGACCAUGUGUCUUCUCCCACCUGCAGGCUCAAAGAACAUCAAGUUUUAAAGUUGCAGGAUAUGAAAUCUUAGGUGCCUGUGCACUUAACCAACUCAAAUGUUAAUUAAUUAAAAAUGAGUAAACAAGUAAUACAGUUAAAGGUACACCACAUGGCAGGAAUUUGUCUACAUAGAAGCAAAUAAUAAAUUUAUGACUUUUAGGUAAGUUUUCUCAGUACUUAAGAAAUUUAAUAAACAACAGAUCCACAUAACUGAAGUGGCCAAAGAAGGACCAAGUAAUGGUCUUUUCAUCAUUACUAAUUUAAACAUGCAAGUCCAGUAAUCCAUAAACAGGGUAUUCACAUUUACUGAAACUUUCUUCCUAGUAUCAACUAUCAGCUAUCAGGUUAGACAUGGAAACAAAGUCAUUAUUCUAAGUGGUGCAUUAAGUGUUUAGGAUGGCCUGUGUGAGCUAUGACAUAAGAUAUUAUAUGAGCACCAUCCACCCCACAAGUGCUCCUUCUGUAUGCCUUAUUUUGGGGGCUUAGCAUGCAUGAUUUUGGCUCCUGGCUAACAUGCUGUUAAGUCAAAACCAUGUAUGUCAGACUCGUUGGUGCUUCUGGAAUUUUCGGAAGCAAGUACAUCCGCAUACCACUCUUCCAUCAGCUUCGUUUUCUCCUCGAUGGGAAUGGUUGGCGAGAUCUCCAAGGGAUGAUAGUAUUCAUACAACGCUUGCCUCCUGGCAUCAUACUCCGCGUUCCCCUGCUGUAGCAAUCCAUGGCUAGCUAACCACAACAAAGCCAGGAAACCUAAUCAGAACCAACUCCAUUUCCACGUACUAAAUCAGAGGAAGGGAUUCAUGUAACCUACUCUGCCCACGGCGGCCAUCAAUCCAGUACCUCGUGAGCGUGCCGUCAAAAUCGGCAAUCACCUAAAAGUUUCAAGAAAUGGGCACUAGAUCAAACACUUAGAUUGCAUAAACAAAGGGGGAGUAGAGGACAAAAGAUCGGGCUCCUCGCCUGGAGUUUACUACAGCCGGCGCACCGGAUUGCGGUCUUCUUCUCCACCAGCGACUUCGGGUCUCGGACGGCGACACCUGGCGGCGACAUGGUAGUGGAAUCCAUCGAACCUCCACCGGCUCGCGGAGUUCCCGGACGGAAGCACCGGAAUGCAGGGGGAGGGAAGGUUGUGGGAGGAAAGCAGGGGAGGGCGAUGGAGGCGGCGCUUGCGAGACUGGCGGCGUGGUGGAUGCGGCAGAGUCCUCCGGGCCUCAUUAAGAUGGGCCGGGCGAACCGAAACCGCAGCAAUCGAUUUCGCCCCUCCGGGCUUCGUGUUGUGCGCUUCUUAUUCUAAAUUAUUUACCACAUUAGCUAAAUAAGGAAAAAAAUCCGUACGUAAAUUUUAAAUUAUUUAAUAUUUACAAAAAAAAAUAAAAAAAAAUCAUUACAUUAAAUGACAUGAAUUCGAACACAAUAAUGUAUUAAUGCAUUAUCCAAUUCGAAUGUCUCAAUAGAUAUCUAAUUAUUUAGCAUAUUAUCUACCUUGAAAUUAUAUGAAUGUGAGAAGGUUUUUCAUCGAUUUAUUAUUAUUUUUCUGACUGAUCUCAUCAUUUCUAGGAAACGGUGAACUACAUAAUUUCUUGUUUGAGCAUCAUAAGCACAUCUGCAUCCAUCAAAUAUUUGCAUAGGUUUUGAUUAAUCGAUUGCUUGAUUUUUUUGGUUCUCAAGAAUUACAACCUCAAGUUGUUUAUUUUAUUUGUUUUCUUCGUUGACAGAGAAGACAAUAACCAAUUGUUUCCUGUAAGCGAAUAGUAAAUUUACCCACACGGAGAAAAUGCAUUAGUAACACAUAAGAACUACGGCUAUAUUUGAUAAUUUCUAAAUCUUUCUUGAAAGAUCAAACAAUAUCAAUCGGAAACAUAUGACUAACGGAAAGAUGCAAUCCUGGAUGAUAUCGGUGAGCAUUGGAAGUCAUAGAAUGCACAUGCACAAGGUUGUGAAUGGCCUGCAGUUUCUAAGUCACAGAGCUUUGCUCUAUGAGAGUACCAUGGUGAAGAUGGUUGUGAGAGUAGCUCAUAAGCAGUAAACUAAAUGCGAACUGAGGUCGAUUGGUUUUGCUUAUCUUUGCACUGGGCACCUCCACGAACAUCAUCAUCAUCAUCAUAUUUUCCCAACGAAAUCUCUCUAUUCUGUUGAGGAAAAUCUUCUAUUGAGGGAAAUUAUUUCUCCUAAUUUAUAUAAAUAGAAGAGGGAACAUGAAUAAAGCUUCUUUAAUAAUUAUUCUUAUCUUAUAUUAUUUUCUUCGGUUAACAUCACGUAAUGUUGUUUCCUCGCACUCAUCCAGCUCCAUGUCGGUCAUCUGAUAUAGGUUUUGGAGGAAGCACAGCCUCGAGAGUUUUGCACUGAUCUGGUGUCAGUGAAUCCGGGAAGGCCACCGUAAUGCGGAUGUAGAGCUUCCCCCUCACGAAGGGUCUCCGGUACAUUGGCAUUCCCUCGUCAUUUGUUGCCUUGAAUUGAUCUACAUCGAUAGCUAUAUGUCAUUGAUUUAAAGCCUGGAAUGAGCAUAUUAAACUUUUGAACAGGCUAGUUUAAAUUUCAUACGGGGCUUCACAGCUUCACCAGUGUUCGACUUGAUGAAUAGUUUAGUUGCCUGUUAUCUAAAUGGGUUAAAACGAACCGGAAGCCACAGAGAGCUUUAGUACGGGAUAAUGUGUGGUACUAAAAGAUAUCGCCUCCCUUUCUCUUGAACUUUGGAAGAUCCUUCUGCUGCAGUACAAACACUAUCUCCGGUAACCGUGUCAGGCUACAACACACAUGAGCACACAAUCUAGGUUAGCACAUCAAGAACAACAAGAAACUAGACAUAAUUAUGCAUGGAUUAAUGUUUUACAGAACAUACCGCCUCAUCUGUUGUCACUCAUCAUAAAUAAAUAAAUAUAUUUAUUUAUUUAUUUCUUCUUGCAAUGACAAGAAGAAGGCAACAUUUCCAAGUUUUCACUCAUCAUUCCUACUCCAUAAAGCAGUCAGAACUGCAUUUUGAGGAGUAAGCGAUACUAUUGUAUUAGUAUGUGGUUAUUAGACUAGAAUAAGCUAUUAUUUUGAAUAAUUUAUUUAAAGCAUCCUCAGUAAUCUCUUUUACCAUCUCUUAGGAAUAAUUUGUUUUUUUAAAUAUUCUUGUAUUAAUUUGACACACUAGUUUGACCAAUGAAUCAUGACUCGCGGUUUGGUCCGAUCAACGUCCACCUUUAGACAAUUUGUUCUUAAAUUUACUGUUUGAUCCACUGGUCCGACAGGACGAAUCGGGUUUGAUGCACGAGACUCCCGUAAUCCACAGCCAAAGAACAAUGUUAUCAGCGCCGACCAUCCUAAUGCUCUAGACAGAUCUUGCUGUUGUCAAACCUCCAGCCACCAUAUGACAUGUUAAAUUUGGUUGGAUAAGCAAAACACCCAACAGAUCAGUUUGACUUAAUCAAGGUUUUUGUCAGUUGACUGUCGUAAACCCUCGGGCUAGAAUAACACAGACAUCUAGUUUUUAGUAUACACACUGGCUGUAAGACUAUGUAGUGGUUUCUUAAAGUCUGCAACAAGAGUUGCAUGCAAACAAUGCAUAUUACAUAAUCCAAGUAUUCACGAAGUAUUUACACAUGCAUUAUGUAGAAAUUGUAGCCUUAAUCUGCUCAGCCAACUUGGAUUCUGACAAUCCCCAGCUCUAAAUACAAUGUUUCUAUUCCAGCUUUCUAGAGAGUAAUAUUAAUAUUCAAGGGGAAUGAGAGAAGGGCAAAAAAAAAAUUCCGAGAAAAUUUACUGCAAGAAAUUAUGAACAAUUAUCGUGUACCAAAAAAAUUGAUUUAACGUAAGAAAUUAUGAACAAUUAUCAUGUACCAGAAAAAUUAUGUAUUUAAUCUAGAAGAUAUAAUGUCUGUUCAACAUCUCAUAUGAUAACUUUGCUUCUCAUCAAAGUAAAAAAUAAGAGGAAAAUUGAAAAGAUGACAAAGUAUGUAGCUGGUAAUGACAAGAACAUGAUUAAAUGCAUACACAUAAUGUAUUUAUAUCAUUGAUUCUCUGCACACAAUUGAGAUACGAGCUCAACAACUCCUCUCAUGGAUGCAUCAUUCUGCGAAAAAUGAACUCUUUAAAAGCAUAGAAGUAUAUGAUAAUUGAGCGAAAGAAAACAAUUGCAUGAGUUGGUCAAAAUUUGUCUCACCAGGUAUACAACGUCAAAUGCAUCAAGGUAACUUUUGAAGGACAUCUCUGUAUUAUUAUUCCUGACAAGAAAAAGAAAUUAAUAAAAAAACGUAUAAACUAUAUACAAAGAACAUAUAGAAUAUGCCUUGUAACCUUCCUAAUUUUUAAGUUCUUGCUUAUUUAUUAGUUUGGUUAGUCAGGUAAUUGCAAAUUAUAUAUGGAAGUAGCACCUGUAAUUGCAAAUUAAUUGUCCAUCAAAUCACAGAACAGUUGACAUACUUGAGAACACCAAAUAAGAUACUCAAUGAAAAAAUAUAUAUACAUCGAAUUUUGCAUGAAAAUUAUACAUGAAUGAAUGAGUUCAUUACUUGAUAGUAUCUAAAAAGUAACUUACAGAAAUCCAACUGCUAUCUGGUUUUCAUAACUCAGACCAUCAGACAUGCCCAGGUCGCCAACAUGAUCUCCAAGAAGUAACACAUUAGUUCUUUGCUUCAUCAAGACACUAUCAGGAUUAUAUCCAUUAGGAUACCUGAAUUUGUCAUGAAUAGGAGCAGCCAUAUCCAAUGCAUGCUCAUUCUUGUUUAGCACAUGAAUUGUCUUUCCUGAGAUUGGAAUAAUUGCAGCAAAGCAGGACAGACCGAGGAUUAGAAAAUGAAGAAUAAAACUCAUCAAUAAAAUUGUAUAAAGGGUGAGUAUGGGUUUUGUUUCCGGUAAUAAGAUCAAAGAAUUUCCAUGCCAAGUAAGACAUGUAAAAAAAUGGAUACAAACUACAUCAAACCAUGUCGAGAAUGCUAACAAAUGGCCAGACCCUUUUUUUGGCUGCCCUGGGUUGCAUAAGAACUUGCCAACUGACACGACAUGAAAUCGUAUUGCAUCAGAAAGACAACAACACCCCUGUGCCAUGAAAUGACAAUCCUUAAUAAGACCAUAGAUUCAUCUUGGAUUUACUUUUUCCUAUGCUUAUGCAAAUUUAAUUGAAAAGACAGAUAAGGUCGUUGGUAACUUAUAAAACAAUUCACAAUCUAUUUUGCAAUUUCUGUAUAUAAGCUUUCUCAUGAUUAAUACCAUAUACUUAUCAAGAUUUAGCUUCUCAAUGGAAGCAAAACGUCCAUGUAGGACAUUACGUCUUUGUUGUUGUUGUACAAAAAACAAAACCAUAUGAUAUAGUGAAGUGAACAUGCACAGACAAAGUUUUAGGCUAUGACAUUUAUGUUCAAAAAAGCAAAGCCAUAUGACAUAAGGAAUGCAGACUUGUAAACUGUUUAAGAUAAGGUGAAACUAAAAGGCACAAAACUCACCUUUAAAGGCAACAAGGCAGCCUUUUUCAUCAAAAACCAUUCUGUUGGAAACAACUUUGAUAUUCUUGAAAGAUCUAUGUAGUUUCUGCCUAAAAACCUGAUAAAUUAUUUUUAAAAAGUUAAUAAGGAAAAACUUGUCUGCAUUGCAAUGUGGUUCAUAAACUAAUAAGAGCAUAGAAAUUCCACUCGAUCAGAACCUCUUCAAUGAUGUCUGCAAGGCCUGCGGAAAAGACAAGGACAGGCACAUCUAGUUCCUGCACAAUGAGCAAAAGAGUUUAUUUAGUUACUCUUACGAGGACCCAGCAUGAAUCUUUAUUUGUUUUAUUUAGUGAACUAUGAAAAUUUUUGUGUGAAAACUUAGCAGCAGAUACCGAAAGGAAAAGUCAAAAUUUACCAGCAGAGCGUCUCCCCAACCUGUGAGCCCACAAGUAAGCUCAAGUUUCUCACAGCCAUGUGAGAGGAGUGUUUUUCGAAGGGUAUUUGGAACAAAUAACAUUAGCUUUUUUUUAUCUUGAUCACCUACUUGCUUGUGGAUGGAUGCAGCAUGACACUUUUGAGAGUGAGCCAUGGAAGCCAUACAAGGUAAAUAGAGCAAUUCCUUUCCUUUUUCUUUUCCUUCUCAUGGGUCUGGCAAAACCUUACUUGCUAGUUAGACUUAGGCAGUUUACGUUCCAAAUCCUCUUCCUAUCCUUCUCUACCAACACCAAGAUGGCAGGUCCGUCCCUAUUAUCAAAGGUAUCUGACAAUUGGAAAAGUGACAGCCAGCUAAUACCCAAGAAUUCCAAGAUAAAGGGAGAUCUAACAGCUGUGAAGCCUAUUCUACUUUCUCCUCUGUUCUUUUCAAUUUUGUUUACCUCCUAUUCUUUACUUUCCCUGUCCUCAUGUGCUCCUUUUUCUCUCCAGGAGGAGGGACCCAGGCAGCAAUCUCCUGCAUCCCCUAAAAUAGGCAGGAUAAAGAAGGGUUCUAAACAAAGGGACCAGGAUGCACAGUAAUCAAUGAGGCAAACUUAUUAUAGUAUGGGCCACAGAUAGGAUAAGACAAGAGACGGGGUUACUCAGAUUUUUUAAGCUCUUCAAUGAUAGCAACUGCCAAUCCAAUUAGAGCACUGGUUGAAUUCUAAAUACCUGGUCUUCGUGGCAAAACCAAGACUCACACUAUAAGACUUGAAAGGAGCAAAUCUCUGUGUUACUUAACAAUAGCCAAUUUACAAAAAAAAAAAAACAGAUCUAGUUGCCAAAAUUGUAGUUCAGAGGAUAGAUAAAUUAAUUCCAUGCUCGCAUCUGUGGUGGCUGAAAUUGUGUUAUACAUAUCAGUGUUACAGUAACUAAGUGUCUAUAGUACUAAUUAAAUCUCAAUGAUAUUAGCUAUCAUACGAGUAUAAUUCUUUUUCCGCUUCAGAAGAAUAUUAUGAUUUAUAGUACACAUUCUCGAGUCUAGUAGAAUGGCAGUUGCUGAUGUGGCAUAGGUAGUAAGAUCUCUUUUUUUCAAACUACACAGCCAACAAAACAUGCCAUCAAUCUAUACAAGAAAAUAAAGAACCCAAAGGAGCUCCUUUAGAAAGCUUGCGAGGAAACCUUUUCAAAACCAUAGUGGCUGUUAUAGAAGUUUAUGAGUGAUGCAGAACACGCCUUGUUGUACGUCUAAACCCACAACUUUCAACAAGUAAAAGAAACUAGAGAAACUACAACAUAAAAAUCCUACACAAAUGCUAUAAGGGUAGCUUAAAAUAAUAAAAUCAACUCAAUAGUUAUGUAUUAUAGACUAUUUAUGAAUUAAAAAUUAAAACUUUAAGCAGCCAUUUAGCCCACUCAACCAUUGAUGAAAAAAACAGUAUACUGAUGAAAUCUUCUUAGAAUUUAACAUAUGAUCAAUAUUUAUACAACCAAAGAAUGUUUUGUGCACAAGUAAUUAGUCUGCACAAUCUUCAUAUAAACUAAGUGCAACCAGAAGAUCAAGAUAUUGAACAAGUAGUCUGCACAAUGUACAAAUAGAAGGCAACCAGAAGAUCAAUACAAGUGGGCUACUAUUUCACAUCCAUCCAGUCUAAACUGUAUCAACUAUUUUAAACUAGCCAUUCCAAAAGUCUCUUUUGCGGAGAAAGUGUUGACAGAUCAGUUGAUGAACAUGAUAAACAAAUAUUUUCCAUUACACAAGAUUAAUUUCUGAAAAUCUGCCCUUCCACAUUUCAUAUCUAAUAAAGUGCUCUUGUUCAAAGAUAAGAAACAUCCCCACUAGGGGUCGCUUCCUUUUUUCUGUGCUUUUAUGUGUAUGCUGGUGUGUGGGUGAUGAUUCGGUUGUGGGGUAAGGGGUUGCAAAUAUCAAAUAUCUAUGAGUAGUUUGAGCACCUAAAACACAUUUAAUCAAUUUAAUAUAUUUAGGAAAUCUAUUAUUAGCAUGCAACAUCCACCAAAUAAAUUUGUAAUAUUGCUUUUGAUGUCUAUCAGUAUUGACAUGAUGACAGGUUUGCUCUUUUUAGGAGGAACAUUAUGAUAAAAGACGGACGUUCUACCAAAGCCCAGAAGAUACAAACUGUACUAGUUCUAUGAUAUCCUAGAAGGUUGUACCAAUCAUGAUCAUUCUACAGUGAGUUCCACAGCUCACAUACUGCUUAAUUGGACAAACAGGCCAAACGUUACAGGAUCUGUGAAAUAUUAGACCAACCUUAGUUAUAUGAGAUUCUAGGUGCAUAUGGCCAUUUGACAAAUUUGAUCUUCAACAAGAUCAUAACCAAUUUCUUAACAAGCAACCAUUUGAAAGGAUAAAAUAAGUCGAAUGCUAGCUUUCAGAUACAGGAUACUUCACGUGUUGUGAGUGAUUACAAAUAAAGAAAGCUGGCUGGCAUUAGUGUCUGGUGUAAUGGCUAUUCUUAAAUAACAUAUUUAAGCAAGCUACUCUGCUGCCAAUAUCUAUUGCAUAACGCAUAAACAUGUAUAUUGGAAUAUGGAAAUAUGCAUGCCACAUGUCACUAUUUAAUAUGAAUAACAAAAAAAUACACAUUGAUAACAAUCUACUACUUGAAAAAAAUAGUGGUGAGGUAAUAUGAAUGAUCAAAUUGUAAUCUUUAAGCACCAACACAGCUAACUUUUAGAGAACAGUCCAAAUAUUUGUAAAAUUGGUUUGUAAUCUUCCAAAUAUUCUAUGCUGCCCUUGGCAAGGUGCCUAGACAAUAGAAAAUAUCCUUUAGCUGGACCUAUAUUAAACACAAUAGUUUCUGCCAGCUCCUAAUCGUGAUGACUAGUUCAAAUAGUAGUACUAUUUAUUUCAUACCCAUUAAAACUAAUGCCCUUUAUUAAGUUGAAGUCUAUGGUAACUAACUUAGAUAUAAGUCUUCAUGGGAAGGAAAGGCUGAUAGAAGCAGUGACCACAUAAAAACCUAGAAUUGAGGAUCAAAUAAAUGAAAAGAUGAUUAUGAAGAAACUUUCUUCCAAGCACCAGUUAAAAAACCUUUCUAAUUUGUCAAGCAAAUUAUUUUCUUAUCUAUAUCUUCUUUAAGAAAUAGUCUCAGAUUCUAUUCAUGCCAUCUAUAAGUGGUCCUGUAUAUGGAGUUAUUAACAGGGUGAUCUUAUAGUGACAUCAUAUGAGAAUCAAUAUUGAUCAUAAUAUCAUAUUACUUAGUGGAAGUAUAUGCAUGUCGUGCUUACCGAAAAGUGUUUAUUGCUUAAAUCAUCAAAACUACCAGCUUAUGAUGCUUUAACUUGCCAUUCCAAGACCGCUAAGAUACUGAUAAACCAGGUGCAACCUAUCUAUAUAGCUUGAUAUCAUUAAAAUAAAUAAAUAAAUACCAACCAGUACCAACAAAUAGGUAGGAUCAAUGUAUUUCCUGAAUUGUCAUUAUAAAUAAAUAACUGAUUUAUAUAGGUUGGUCCAAUCAGUAUUCCUCUUCUAAAGCAACCUUAAAAUUUUCAUUAUAUAUUUUCUGAAUAACCAAUAAUUGCAAGUGAUUUUUAUAGAACUAAAGUUCUAACAUACUAUAAAUUUAUUUUAUAUUUCAUGAAUAAAAUGCUUUACCAUUUAAUUCUGACCUCACCACUACAAAGUUAUCCAUACUAUCUCUCUCCUCAUCUCCUAGCAAUCAGGAUAUGGAAAAAUGAAUCAUAAACAAUGACAAGCUCCAAAAAAAACUUGUUUAAUACUAAUUAGGUAAAUUGACAUAUCCCAAAGGUCAUAUACAAACUCCAUACCUCCAAUAACUCAAACAGCUCAACAACGCCAUCUCUAAAAGCAAUUGUAGCCUCAGAGACAGAUUUCUUUAUUGCAUCAAAGGAAAGGCCUCCCUCGAUAAGAAGACCAUGUGUCUUCUCCCACCUGCAGGUUCAAAGAACAUCAAGUUUCAAAGUUGCAGGAUAUGAAAUCUUAGGUGCCUGUGCACUUAACCAACUCAAAUGUUAAUUGUUAAUUAAAAAUGAGUAAAUAAGUAAUACAGUUAAAGGUACACCACAUG